AUUGAACGCUGGCGGCAUGCCUUACACAUGCAAGUCGAACGGCAGCACGGGAGCAAUCCUGGUGGCGAGUGGCGAACGGGUGAGUAAUAUAUCGGAACGUGCCCAGUAGUGGGGGGAUAGCCCGGCGAAAGCCGGAUUAAUACCGCAUACGACCUGAGGGUGAAAGCGGGGGAUCGCAAGACCUCGCGCUAUUGGAGCGGCCGAUAUCAGAUUAGCUAGUUGGUGGGGUAAAGGCCUACCAAGGCUACGAUCUGUAGUUGGUCUGAGAGGACGACCAGCCACACUGGGACUGAGACACGGCCCAGACUCCUACGGGAGGCAGCAGUGGGGAAUUUUGGACAAUGGGCGCAAGCCUGAUCCAGCAAUGCCGCGUGCAGGAAGAAGGCCUC
RNAcentral lists this ribosomal RNA (389 nucleotides) under uncultured bacterium. Its description in RNAcentral is "bacterial SSU rRNA". It matches the Rfam family "Bacterial small subunit ribosomal RNA", at positions 29 to 418 of the family's 1533-position model. The record is from RNAcentral.